RNAcentral lists this ribosomal RNA (1332 nucleotides) under Triticum aestivum (bread wheat). RNAcentral describes it as "partial small subunit ribosomal RNA". Lineage: Eukaryota; Viridiplantae; Streptophyta; Magnoliopsida; Poales; Poaceae. The record is from RNAcentral.
AUGGCCGCCGGAGAUGCCACCCACGCGCCGCCGGCCGCGGAGGCGCAGUCUCUGGUGGAGUCGUUCUGCGCCGUCACCUCGGCGACCCCCGACGAGGCGGCCUUCUUUCUCGAGGGCCACAACUGGGCCCUCGAGGCCGCCGUUCGCUCCUUCUACGACAACACGGAGGUCGACGCCGAUGGCCCCGAUCCGGCACCCCAGCCCCCGCCACCCGUCCCAGCCGCUGUCGAUGGCGCGGACUCCGAGGACGAGGACUACUUGGGCGUCGGCGACAAGGAUGAGGGCGACGAGGACUACGUGGGCGGCGGCGACGAGGACGACGACGAGGAUGCCGCCCUCGCCGCCGCGUCUGCGGCGGCAGAUGAGCGGAGGAGGAGGCCCGCGAAGAGGCAGAAGAGGAGCCACCAAGCGCGGGGCGGGAGCGGGGGUGCGAGUGGGAGGGGGACUGUGAGGACGCUCUCCGAUCUCGGAGGUGGCAAGGGGCGCGCGGGGUCGGACGAAGACGAGGACGACGACGACGACGAGUGGGCGCCACCCCCUGAGUUGUACACCGGCGGCGAGAGGAGUGGAAUGGUUGUUAGAGAUCGAUCCAAACGCAAAAAUGUUGCGGAUGAGGUUUUUAAGCAAGCUAAGAGGAAGGGAGCUAAGCAAGGCCCAGCUCGCCGGCAAUCUUCUAGUUCAAGGAGCUUUCCUGGGACUAGCAGACUUCUAACAGGUGAAACUGUACAGCCUGACACACCACAGCCACCAGAGGAAAUUGUUCACAACAUCUACUUCUGGAGUGAUGGGUUCACAGUAGACGACGGUCCACUCAGAAGUUUCAACGACCCAGAGCAUGCAGCCUUUUUAGAGAGCAUCAUGAAGUCUGAAUGCCCAACUGAGCUUGCGCCGGCUGAUGGGAUGUCUAAGGUGAACGUAAAUCUUAUCCGUAAAGAAGAAAAAUGUCCUGAGCCAGUCAAGCGCCCUGCCCCAUUUCAAGGAGGGGGGAGAAUUCUCGCGGCACCUUCUGAAAACUCUGCUCCUUCGGGUAUCUCUCUUGCGGCUGCUGCUUCUAGCACUGCGACCACUACCGCACCCAAGACUAUCACAGUGGACGAUUCUUUGCCGUCAACCUCUCUCCAGAUCAGGUUUGCCGACGGCAGCCGUGUGGUUGGGCGCUUCAACACAAGCCACACGAUCAGUGACGUGCGGGCGUUCAUCUACACAACAAGGCCAGGAGAAACAAGCGACUACACGUUGCAGGUCGGGUUCCCCCCUAAGCCGCUCGACGACGCGACCAAGACCAUCGAGGAAGCCGGCGUCGCCAACUCGGUGAUCAUCCAGAGAGUCUAA